Non-coding RNA from Chrysemys picta bellii (western painted turtle), 683 nucleotides. Lineage: Eukaryota; Metazoa; Chordata; Testudines; Emydidae. The record is from RefSeq and is a predicted model, not a curated record.
ACUCACAGACACUUAGGAGUUGGAAAAACAUGUGCAAACUCUACCUGAGCGAGCAGCGCCGAGACGCAGAUCAAGGCUCAAGACGCAGAAGAGCGCGCAUUGCAGCAUCCGUGGCCAUGGAGAGCAGGCGAGAUUAGUAGGAAUAACUGCCCCUGAAGUCAUUCUCCCAGGGGAACAAGGCACCAUGAUUUUAAGGCAACACAAAGUGAUCUGCCUUGGUGGACAGAUGUUCCUCGAGUGAGAGCAACUACACUGCCCAGAGCCUUUGGAGGACUGCGGUGAGCAAUUGUCUAACUCACUCCAGCUGUAGCCUGUUCCCCCUGGUGGGCCAGCCAACUCCAGUGAAAACCGCCACGCCACGCCACUCCACUCAAGCGUGUGGGCGGGGAUGGGACCUGAGUUAGGGGCAACACUUGACUUAAUCCUGCAGCCAAGACCAACCCUAAGGGGGUUGUGCCCCCUUGUAACUACAGAGCAUCCUCCGAUGCUGCUCAACUUGUGGAAGAGGGAUAGUUCUGGAGUCCACCCUCGUGGAGGGAAAUAAGGGAAAACCACAUGGAAUAUGGGGGACCAGGCUUUGUUUGAAGGGACAGUUUAGGGAAACACCAUUGCACGUAGCCCAUCAUGGAUUUCGUCUCUCAUGUACAAUGCAAUGAUCAUAAGCUUCAAGUUAACGUUUAAAA